Helianthus annuus (common sunflower) is the source of this 1482-nucleotide long non-coding RNA. RefSeq lists it as uncharacterized. The record is from RefSeq and is a predicted model, not a curated record. Lineage: Eukaryota; Viridiplantae; Streptophyta; Magnoliopsida; Asterales; Asteraceae. The transcript is spliced from 4 exons.
AUCACCUACUACUACCUAUGUAUAGUACACCAUCUCUGUUUCCUUUCCUCUUGUUUUCUUUGUUCAAGAUUAUCACCAUCAAACUUUAAGAUUUGAAUGUCAGACACUCAAUUGAGCAUUACCCUAAUAUUAUAUUUAGAAAUGUGAUUGGGAAUAAUUCACUUCUAAUAAAAAGGCCCUAGAUAUUUUUUUUAUAUCAAAACCAAACAAACAUAUCACCCAACCUCCCCUCUCUCUCUCCCGUACAGAUCCGGCGACCGGACUCUGGCGACGGCUCCGGCCGGUCCCGUUUGUUUCUCCGGUAGGCAACAUCACCACAACCCUCCUCCCCUCUGCUCCUUCUCCCUCUCGACUCGUGCUCUGGCUUCGUUUACGGCUAACACCUCUCUCUCCUACUCUCACUCUACUCUUUUUCUGAACAAAUGGCCGAUCACCGCUCGAUGGUGGCGGCGCUCAAACACAGCGGCAGCAGCUGCGACGUACGACAGAUGGGGGGUAUGGUGGGGUCGGGUGGCGUCUCAAGGCGGAGAAGGAGCGGUUGCUCCGACAAACCUCCGACAGGCCCGACGAAGCUGAUGAUGAUGAUGUGGCCACUGUUGUUGCUGACUGAUGAUGAUGGUGGAUGCCGAUGAUGGACGUCCAGCGGUGGCAUUAGCCGGCCGGAGACAUUAGGCGGCGGGGGUGCUUUAUUUUUCGACAAAGUUAUACGAUGAUGUUGUAGUGCCGGCUUAGUUUCGGGCUAUUCACAGUCAAAAUGUUCGGGUUAGGUGUGAACUCGGUUCAAACAUGGCAUGGUUCAACAGGCUUCUUCAUCUCAAGUGCAGUUCAGUUUCGUUUCAGAUUCGGGUUUUUCGGCUCGGCUACAGUUUGGGUUCGGUUAGCUCAGUGGUGGUUCGGGACGACACGGUUCAUCGGGUCAGAUUUGGACUCGGGUCAACUCAGUUCGGGUCCGGGUCAACACAGUCAAAACUCGGUCAACCUGAGUUAACUCGGUCAAACCGAGUCAACUCAGUCAACGACAGUCAACGAUGGUCAAACUCAGUCAAACGAAGAUCCGGAAUACUAUAGUUGCACGCUAGCUAAUUCAAGUUCUUGGAACAACCUCAUGGAAUACACACUUAGCUAGCUUUGCACAAGGAUAUCAAGGUUACAUUUUCAACACUAUGGAACGGUUGGAAUAGGAAAACCCAUGGAAAUUCGAGUAAUUAGCAGGCGUUACAUUUCUAGAAGUCUUAGCUUAUAUACUUCCACUGUGCAAUGAAGAUACCGGUCCAGUCACGCCAGCUCUGAUAUUUUCGGGGUGUGACACCUGAGACAGAGAAGAGAAGAAAAAGGGAUCCUCGACCUGGUGUGUGACAACUGUCAAAUUUGCAUGCAUCCGUACGUUAAUUAAUAUUGAUUUGUGCUUAAUGACUGUGCUAAAUUCCAACUGAUGAUUAAAACUGAUUUAUGAUUUUUGUAUCAUACAUACAUAUGCAUCAC